This 165-nucleotide small nuclear RNA is filed under the name Carassius auratus (goldfish). Its description in RNAcentral is "U12 minor spliceosomal RNA (ENSCARG00000057591.1)". It matches the Rfam family "U12 minor spliceosomal RNA". From Rfam's summary of the family: Although the U12 sequence is very divergent from that of U2, the two are functionally analogous. The record is from Rfam by way of RNAcentral. Lineage: Eukaryota; Metazoa; Chordata; Actinopteri; Cypriniformes; Cyprinidae.
AUGCCUUAAACUGAUGAGUAAGGAAAAUAACGACGCGGGGUGACGCCCGUGUCCUCACUCAAACUCGUGAGAAGAAUUUUUGAAAGAUUUUUGAAAGGGCACAGGUCCGUCUGCGAGGUGACUCACCUACUUAGUGAGAUGCCGAGCAGAGCCAGGAUCUGCCCC